CAGCCGCCGCGGUAAUACAGAGGGUGCGAGCGUUAAUCGGAUUUACUGGGCGUAAAGCGUGCGUAGGCGGCUUUUUAAGUCGGAUGUGAAAUCCCUGAGCUUAACUUAGGAAUUGCAUUCGAUACUGGGAAGCUAGAGUAUGGGAGAGGAUGGUAGAAUUCCAGGUGUAGCGGUGAAAUGCGUAGAGAUCUGGAGGAAUACCGAUGGCGAAGGCAGCCAUCUGGCCUAAUUCUGACGCUGAGGUACGAAAGCAUGGGGAGCAAACAGGAUUAGAUACCCCCGUAGUCCCUGUCUCUUAUAC
This 301-nucleotide ribosomal RNA is filed under the name uncultured bacterium. RNAcentral describes it as "partial 16S ribosomal RNA". It matches the Rfam family "Bacterial small subunit ribosomal RNA", at positions 509 to 807 of the family's 1533-position model. The record is from RNAcentral.